Molecule: long non-coding RNA, 1150 nt
Filed under: Rhagoletis pomonella (apple maggot)
Lineage: Eukaryota; Metazoa; Arthropoda; Insecta; Diptera; Tephritidae
Description: uncharacterized LOC118749534, transcript variant X1
Source: RNAcentral
GUUUUUAGCUCAGCCGCAGUGGCAAUUCGAUUCAGUUUAGGACGUGGGCUUGAACGUGGUGGUUCGCUACUUGUCGGCAACAUCGUGGAAAGUGGGAAUAUAGUUUGAAAUUUAAUCGGAAGCGAAGUAGAGGCAGACAGUGAAGAUAAAUAGCAAAAAAAACGAAAUUAAAAUUGUGCAGCCGAGAGAAAACUAUUUAAAAUUUUAGCCGGAAAUUAUUUACAUAAUAUUUCCGUGAGUCAAAAUGAAAUGCCGGUGGGCUGAAUUGGAGCCGCUGCUUAGCUGUAGCUGAGUGUGUUUCUCGAACUUCAGCGAGCUAAUUUCCUCAGGCUUUCGACCGUAUUUUGGCUUUGACUUCGCUUGCUUUGUUUUUGAUUUGAUUUCCAGUGUAAUUUGCCGAAUGCGCUGAUAAAAACGCGAUAGCAACAAUACGAAACCCUAUCUCCAUUUGCAGGGAAUAAAAAUUGAAAAAAAAAACGAAAAAAGGGAAAGCGCGAAAAAUUCGGCGCAAAUUAGCAGCAACGGAAACAUAUACAAUUACAAAAUCGCACGUACAGGUUUUGAUUAAAACACCAAACGUACUCCCAAGAGCAGCUCGUAGGUAGCUUUCCGCAUCCGAAGCCAGCGGUUUCGACCUCAACUCGACAUCAUCAAGGCAGAAAUAUCCGCUACGAUAACAGCAUAGAUUGUUGCAGUGAAAUUACCUCUGCCGUAAAUUUAAAAAGUUUACACGGCUGCCCGCAUGAGCUACACCUGCUGCACGCCGUGCUCAACAACUACUACAAAAAUCUGGAGCAAGCCGUUGUGAACAAAUUCGCUCCACUGUAGCUCAUUUUCGGUUUGACGACAAUACAAAUUGUCGAUGGUGUGUGGACGAAGGAUUCAAUGGCGCCUACACGCCCAACAUUGUGGUAAAGAAUAAUGGCUCAUGUUUUUUAUGUGUUGCCCGAAAUUUUCAAAUCCACCUGGAAAUUUUUGAUCACAUGGUUUCCAUGCCCUAAUCAACGCUGUGGGAUGAAGUUCGGCACAUGAACAUAUGAUGGCUUUCAGCUUGAUUUUCAGCUGCAACACCAUCCCAUAGGGGGCAUUAAUGCCAGUCUCAAUGGCACUGCAGGAUUCAUACUGCUCUCCGAUUCUGGAUAAAAGGCCU